Molecule: ribosomal RNA, 253 nt
Filed under: uncultured bacterium
Lineage: Bacteria
Description: partial 16S ribosomal RNA
Rfam family: Bacterial small subunit ribosomal RNA
Source: RNAcentral
UACGGAGGGUGCAAGCGUUAUCCGGAUUCACUGGGUUUAAAGGGUGCGUAGGCGGGCUAUUAAGUCAGUGGUGAAAGCCCCAGGCUCAACCUGGGAACUGCACUCGAAACUCCCGGUCUUGAGUGGUGGAGAGGGAAGUGGAAUUCCUGGUGUAGAGGUGAAAUUCGUAGAUAUCAGGAGGAACACCAGUGGCGAAGGCGGCUUCCUGGACACCAACUGACGCUGAGACGCGAAAGCGUGGGGAGCAAACAGG